CAAACUUGAGAGUUUGAUCCUGGCUCAGAACGAACGCUGGCGGCAUGCCUCAUACAUGCAAGUCGAACGAAGCCUUCGGGCUUAGUGGCGAACGGGUGCGUAACGCGUGGGAACCUGCCUUUAGGUCCGGAAUAACAGUUAGAAAUGACUGCUAAUGCCGGAUAAUGUCUUCGGACCAAAGAUUUAUCGCCUUUAGAUGGGCCCGCGUAGGAUUAGGUAGUUGGUGUGGUAACGGCGCACCAAGCCGACGAUCCUUAGCUGGUCUGAGAGGAUGAUCAGCCACACUGGGACUGAGACACGGCCCAGACUCCUACGGGAGGCAGCAGUAGGGAAUAUUGGACAAUGGGCGAAAGCCUGAUCCAGCAAUGCCGCGUGAGUGAUGAAGGCCUUAGGGUUGUAAAGCUCUUUUACCAGGGAUGAU
RNAcentral lists this ribosomal RNA (421 nucleotides) under Alphaproteobacteria bacterium. RNAcentral's name for it is "bacterial SSU rRNA". It matches the Rfam family "Bacterial small subunit ribosomal RNA", at positions 1 to 449 of the family's 1533-position model. Lineage: Bacteria; Pseudomonadati; Pseudomonadota; Alphaproteobacteria. The record is from RNAcentral.